CAAGACUUGACAUCCCGCUGACCGCUCUAGAGAUAGAGUUUCCCUUCGGGGCAGCGGUGACAGGUGGUGCAUGGUUGUCGUCAGCUCGUGUCGUGAGAUGUUGGGUUAAGUCCCGCAACGAGCGCAACCCCUAUGUUGUGUUGCUACCAUUUAGUUGAGCACUUACAACAGACUGCCGGUGACAAACCGGAGGAAGGCGGGGAUGACGUCAAAUCAUCAUGCCCCUUAUGUCUUGGGCUACACACGUGCUACAAUGGACGGUACAAAGGGUUGCGGAGCCGCGAGGUGGAGCCAAUCCCAGAAAGCCGUUCGUAGUUCGGAUUGCAGGCUGCAACUCGCCUGCAUGAAGCCGGAAUUGCUAGUAAUCGCGGAUCAGCAUGCCGCGGUGAAUUCGUUCCCGGGCCUUGUACACACCGCCCGUCACACCAUGGGAGUUGGUAACACCCGAAGUCGGUGAGGUAACUGCUUGCAGAGCCAGCCGCCUAAGGUGGGAUCGAUAACUGGGGUG
This 508-nucleotide ribosomal RNA is filed under the name uncultured bacterium. RNAcentral describes it as "bacterial SSU rRNA". It matches the Rfam family "Bacterial small subunit ribosomal RNA", at positions 975 to 1482 of the family's 1533-position model. The record is from RNAcentral.